GGCCCUUUAGCUCAGUGGUUAGAGCAGGCGACUCAUAAUCGUCCGGUCGCAGGUUCAAGUCCAGCAAGGGCCACCA
Molecule: transfer RNA, 76 nt
Filed under: Escherichia coli
Lineage: Bacteria; Pseudomonadati; Pseudomonadota; Gammaproteobacteria; Enterobacterales; Enterobacteriaceae
Description: tRNA-Ile
Rfam family: tRNA
About the family: Transfer RNA (tRNA) molecules are approximately 80 nucleotides in length. Their secondary structure includes four short double-helical elements and three loops (D, anti-codon, and T loops). Further hydrogen bonds mediate the characteristic L-shaped molecular structure. tRNAs have two regions of fundamental functional importance: the anti-codon, which is responsible for specific mRNA codon recognition, and the 3' end, to which the tRNAs corresponding amino acid is attached (by aminoacyl-tRNA synthetases). tRNAs cope with the degeneracy of the genetic code in two manners: having more than one tRNA (with a specific anti-codon) for a particular amino acid; and 'wobble' base-pairing, i.e. permitting non-standard base-pairing at the 3rd anti-codon position.
Source: RNAcentral